AUACGAAGGGGGCUAGCGUUGUUCGGAUUUACUGGGCGUAAAGCGCACGUAGGCGGAUUGAUUAGUUAGGGGUGAAAUCCCGAGGCUCAACCUCGGAACUGCCUCUAAUACUGUCAAUCUCGAGACCGGAAGAGGUGAGUGGAACUCCUAGUGUAGAGGUGGAAUUCGUAGAUAUUAGGAAGAACACCAGUGGCGAAGGCGGCUCACUGGUCCGGUACUGACGCUGAGGUGCGAAAGCGUGGGGAGCGAACAGGAUUAGAAACCCUAGUAGUCC
Molecule: ribosomal RNA, 274 nt
Filed under: uncultured bacterium
Lineage: Bacteria
Description: partial 16S ribosomal RNA
Rfam family: Bacterial small subunit ribosomal RNA
Source: RNAcentral